AGUGAGCGCUGGCGGUAGGCCUAACACAUGCAAGUCGAACGGCAGCACAGUAAGAGCUUGCUCUUACGGGUGGCGAGUGGCGGACGGGUGAGGAAUACAUCGGAAUCUACUUUUUCGUGGGGGAUAACGUAGGGAAACUUACGCUAAUACCGCAUACGACCUACGGGUGAAAGCAGGGGAUCUUCGGACCUUGCGCGAUUGAAUGAGCCGAUGUCGGAUUAGCUAGUUGGCGGGGUAAAGGCCCACCAAGGCGACGAUCCGUAGCUGGUCUGAGAGGAUGAUCAGCCACACUGGAACUGAGACACGGUCCUGACUCCUACGGGAGGCAGCAGUGGGGAAUAUUGGACAAUGGGCGCAAGCCUGAUCCAGCCAUACCGCGUGGGUGAAGAAGGCCUUCGGGUUGUAAAGCCCUUUUGUUGGGAAAGAAAAGCAGCAGGUUAAUACCCCGCUGUUCUGACGGUACCCAAAGAAUAAGCACCGGCUAACUUCGUG
This 492-nucleotide ribosomal RNA is filed under the name uncultured bacterium. RNAcentral's name for it is "partial 16S ribosomal RNA". It matches the Rfam family "Bacterial small subunit ribosomal RNA", at positions 29 to 507 of the family's 1533-position model. The record is from RNAcentral.